AGUGAACGCUGGCGGUAGGCCUAAUACAAGCAAGUCGAACGGCAGCACAGUAAGAGCUUGCUCUUACGGGUGGCGAGUGGCGGACGGGUGAGGAAUACAUCGGAAUCUACUUUUUCGUGGGGGAUAACGUAGGGAAACUUACGCUAAUACCGCAUACGACCUACGGGUGAAAGCAGGGGAUCUUCGGACCUUGCGCGAUUGAAUGAGCCGAUGUCGGAUUAGCUAGUUGGCGGGGUAAAGGCCCACCAAGGCGACGAUCCGUAGCUGGUCUGAGAGGAUGAUCAGCCACACUGGAACUGAGACACGGUCCAGACUCCUACGGGAGGCAGCAGUGGGGAAUAUUGGACAAUGGGCGCAAGCCUGAUCCAGCCAUACCGCGUGGGUGAAGAAGGCCUUCGGGUUGUAAAGCCCUUUUGUUGGGAAAGAAAAGCAGCAGGUUAAUACCCCGCUGUUCUGACGGUACCCAAAGAAUAAGCACCGGCUAACUUCGUG
Molecule: ribosomal RNA, 492 nt
Filed under: uncultured bacterium
Lineage: Bacteria
Description: partial 16S ribosomal RNA
Rfam family: Bacterial small subunit ribosomal RNA
Source: RNAcentral